CCCUUAGAUGUUCUGGGCCGCACGCGUGCUACACUGAGUGGAUCAGCGGGUCAGGUUGCGCGAAAGUGUUUCCUAAUCUUGAAAUCCGCUCGUGAUGGGGAUUGACGGUUGCAAUUUUCCGUCAUGAACGAGGAAUACCUUGUAAGCGCGGGUCAUCAUCCCGCGCUGAAUACGUCCCUGCCCUUUGUACACACCGCCCGUCGCUCCUACCGAUUGAGUGGUCCGGUGGGGCUUUGGGAUCUGAGCAAAGAGAGCGUUUCGCUCGUUUUGCCCGGAAAACUCAGUCGAACCUUAUCAUUUAGAGGAAGGAGAAGUCGUAACA
RNAcentral lists this ribosomal RNA (322 nucleotides) under uncultured eukaryote. Its description in RNAcentral is "partial 18S ribosomal RNA". It matches the Rfam family "Eukaryotic small subunit ribosomal RNA", at positions 1470 to 1796 of the family's 1831-position model. The record is from RNAcentral.